Molecule: ribosomal RNA, 630 nt
Filed under: Platynectes darlingtoni
Lineage: Eukaryota; Metazoa; Arthropoda; Insecta; Coleoptera; Dytiscidae
Description: partial 16S ribosomal RNA
Rfam family: Bacterial large subunit ribosomal RNA
Source: RNAcentral
GUCCUUUAGGUUUUAUUAAAGGUCUAACCUGCCCACUGAAAAAUUUAUUUGAAGGGCCGCAGUAUUUUGACUGUGCAAAGGUAGCAUAAUCAUUAGUUUUUUAAUUAAAAGCUUGUAUGAAGGGUUGGACGAAGUAAAUUCUGUCUCUGUUUAAUUAAUUAGAAUUUAAUUUUUAAGUUAAAAAGCUUAAAUUUUUGUAAAAGACGAGAAGACCCCAUAGAUCUUUAUAUAAUUUAGAGUUGAUUUAUUUAAGAAUAUUUUAAUAGUUUAUUUUGAAUUUUAUUUUAUUGGGGUAAUAAAUAGAUUUAUUUAAUUCUUUUUUUUAUUGAACAUUAAUUAAUGAAUUUUUGAUCCAAUUAUUUUGAUUAUAAGAUUAAGUUACCUUGGGGAUAACAGCGUAAUUUUUUUUGAGAGUUCUUAUCGAUAAAAGAGUUUGCGACCUCGAUGUUGGAUUAAAAAUUAUCUUAGGUGCAGAAUUUUAAGAUUUUGGUCUGUUCGACCAUUAAAUUUUUACAUGAUCUGAGUUCAGACCGGCGUAAGCCAGGUCGGUUUCUAUCUUUAUUAAGUUAAAAUAUUUUAGUACGAAAGGACCAAGUAUUUAAUAAAAAAUUUAUUUUAUUUUUUGAAUGU